UACAUAGCCCUCAAGCGUUAUCCGGAAUCAUUGGGCGUAAAGCGUACCGAUGGGUGGUUUACCAAGUCAGAAGUGAAAUCUCCGAGCUCAACUCGGAAUCUGUCUUUUGAAACUGGUAGACUAGAGGGGCAAAGAGGAAGCUGGAACGAACGGUGUAGUAGUGAAAUGCGCAGAUAUCAGGAGGAACACCGGUGGCGAAGGCGGGUCUCUGGGCCGAUACUGACGCUGAGGAGCGAAAGCGUGGGGAGCGAACAGG
This 256-nucleotide ribosomal RNA is filed under the name uncultured bacterium. RNAcentral's name for it is "partial 16S ribosomal RNA". It matches the Rfam family "Bacterial small subunit ribosomal RNA", at positions 524 to 776 of the family's 1533-position model. The record is from RNAcentral.